Molecule: ribosomal RNA, 421 nt
Filed under: uncultured archaeon
Lineage: Archaea
Description: partial 16S ribosomal RNA
Rfam family: Archaeal small subunit ribosomal RNA
Source: RNAcentral
CGGGGGGCAGCAGCAGUUAGGAAUAAUCUACAAUGCGCGAAAGCGUGAUAGUUUGAGCCAGAGUGUUUUUCAAUUGAAAGACUUUUGUGAAAUGUAAAAAGUUUCACGAAUAAGGACUGGGUAAGACUAGUGCCAGCCGCCGCGGUAAUACUAGCGGUCCAAGUCGCAACCAUUUUUAUUGGGUCUAAAACAUCCGUAGCUUGCUUGACAAGUCUUCUGUGAAAUUUUACGUCUAAAACGUAGAGCGCGCAGAAGGUACUAUCAAGCUAGAGACCGGAAGACGUAAGAAGUACAUUCAGAGUAGCGGUUAAAUGUGUUAAUCCUGGAUGGACUAACAAGAGCGAAGGCAUCUUACGAGGACGGUUCUGACAGUAAGGGAUGAAAGCUAGGGGCGCAAAUGGGAUUAGAUACCCUUGUAGUC